AAAAAGUAGACGUAGGUGGCGCAGUGUUCCCUUGUAUAGCCGCAGAGAGUCCAAAGAGUAACGUGCAUUUUUUCUUCUUUUUUCACCUUUCCUCAGUUUUGUUGUUGUUGUAAAUAUUUCCUUAAUUAUCAGAUCACUCACAACUAAUAUUAAUAUGAUCACUUGUUACAAUCAAUAAAAAGAGCGCCUCUUUUUCACUGCCCCG
This 205-nucleotide long non-coding RNA is filed under the name Brassica napus (rape). RNAcentral's name for it is "long non-coding RNA (BNAP_LNC000589)". Lineage: Eukaryota; Viridiplantae; Streptophyta; Magnoliopsida; Brassicales; Brassicaceae. The record is from RNAcentral.